Molecule: long non-coding RNA, 1368 nt
Organism: Homalodisca vitripennis (glassy-winged sharpshooter)
Lineage: Eukaryota; Metazoa; Arthropoda; Insecta; Hemiptera; Cicadellidae
Exons: 3
Source: RefSeq, a predicted model, not a curated record
AUUAACAUAGUGUACACGUAGAUAUGACGAUCUUAACGCUUUACAGGUCUCCUUUUGGAUUGUAAAUUUUAUCAGCUGAGUGCCUGGACCACCAACCACACUCAUGCUUGACACCUAGCCGAGAUCCUCCUCUACAAGUAGAGUGCCUCAUCUCCGGAUGCUGUUCCCUUAGCUAUAUCCGAAGCCAUUCCCGAACCUGAGUCGAGGCCAGAAGCUGAGUCGAAGCCGUCGCUGAGUGCUGAUCAUUCUCUUAGCUUUGCCCUACUACUUAGGCUCGGUCAUAUUCGGUUGCAUUACUGACUGCCGACACUGUUUAAGUCAGUGAAGCACUGCCAUCUCCUGAACCCGUGUUUCCAGUCCUAUUAGUCACAUUUGAUAUGAUAAGUAGGUUGGUGAAUAUUUCAUUGGGCAGAAGAAGGACUUAGUGAAUAGUACGUAGGAUAAAGUAGUGAUGACUAAGUAGUUUCAUUUUUUAAAUAGUGAUAUUUAAAUGGAUUUGUUAUAUAUUUUUUAAAUUAAUAAAUUAUACAUAUUAUAUGUAAUUGUAUGCAAGUAUUUGAAAUAUCAUCUAAUGUCAUUAUUUCAUACACCGUACUAUGCUAUUAUAGAAAAUGAAAGAUUCAUUUAUUCAUUAUGAAACAUAUGAUACAUUUUAUUUUAUGAAUUGUAGAAAUAAUAAGUUAUGGAUGAAAGGUUAAGAAAAAAAUACUUUAGAUUACGAAUAUAAAUCUUGACUCGUAAGUAAAUAAAAAAGUGUAAAUUUUCAAGAAAGGGCCCGCAAAGGUAUGGUGGAGACAGAUAUCUAAUUACAAUAGAGUAGAACAUUUGAAAAUUAAUGUCUUUGCCUUAUGAUUGGAUGGCGGGGACCAGUCUGUGGAUCCGGUUACGAGGAAAUGUAGGUUAGGGAAGGGGUGGUACUUAAGGCUCUGACUCAGGAAACCUGUGCCAUAUUCAGUCUCUGGCGUAUUAUUUAGUCGUUUCAAAUCUUUAGUGCCCAAAACGUGAUUUAUUUAGUUAAGCUUACAAGGGAGAAUUAGUUGAUUUCUUUUGAAAUAUAUUAAAAAUGGUCUAUUUUAUUGCGGUUUGAUACAAAAUAAUUUUAGUUCGAUUUUUAAUUUUUUUAGUUAAGUAGUAUUUGAUUUAUUAUAUUUUAUUAGAAAAUCUUUCUUUAGAAAGCUUUCAGAAGAGAAGUGACCCUGUAAUCUGUAAAAUUGGUGAUUAAAUGUAAAUACUUUGAGUAUUGGAAUACAUUCUCAAUAAAAGUUGUUAGCGCAAGCACCUGGUUACAGCAGUUACCAGGUGUUACUGGUGGUCUGGCUGGUCUGAGUGGUUUAGAGGAUGGGUCUCUAAACUGGCUCAGUAAUUUUG